This 489-nucleotide ribosomal RNA is filed under the name uncultured bacterium. RNAcentral's name for it is "bacterial SSU rRNA". It matches the Rfam family "Bacterial small subunit ribosomal RNA", at positions 28 to 507 of the family's 1533-position model. The record is from RNAcentral.
GAUGAACGCUAGCUACAGGCUUAACACAUGCAAGUCGAGGGGCAGCAUGGGGUUUGCUUGCAAACCCUGAUGGCGACCGGCGCACGGGUGAGUAACGCGUAUCCAACCUUCCCGUCACUCGGGGACAGCCCAGCGAAAGCUGGAUUAACCCCCGAUGUUGUCAUAUGAUAGCAUUAGAGUGUGACGAAAGGCUAACGGUGACGGAUGGGGAUGCGUCUGAUUAGGUAGUAGGCGGGGUAACGGCCCACCUAGCCGACGAUCAGUAGGGGUUCUGAGAGGAAGGUCCCCCACAUUGGAACUGAGACACGGUCCAAACUCCUACGGGAGGCAGCAGUGAGGAAUAUUGGUCAAUGGGCGAGAGCCUGAACCAGCCAAGUAGCGUGCAGGAUGACGGCCCUAUGGGUUGUAAACUGCUUUUAUAAGGGAAUAAAGUGAGUCUCGUGAGACUUUUUGCAUGUACCUUAUGAAUAAGGACCGGCUAAUUCCGUG